CCGACUUUAGCUCAGUUGGAAGAGCAUCAGACUGUAAUUGGUUACGUAAUCACGGCAUCUGGUGGUCGCCUGUUCGAACCAGGCAAGUCGGA
This is a non-coding RNA of Armillaria borealis, 92 nucleotides long. Lineage: Eukaryota; Fungi; Basidiomycota; Agaricomycetes; Agaricales; Physalacriaceae. The record is from the annotation of a GenBank genome assembly.